This 86-nucleotide transfer RNA is filed under the name Candidatus Parepulonipiscium sp. PG-Nun2H_MBin03. Its description in RNAcentral is "Epulopiscium sp. Nuni2H_MBin003 tRNA". It matches the Rfam family "tRNA". Rfam says of the family: Transfer RNA (tRNA) molecules are approximately 80 nucleotides in length. Their secondary structure includes four short double-helical elements and three loops (D, anti-codon, and T loops). Lineage: Bacteria; Bacillati; Bacillota; Clostridia; Lachnospirales; Lachnospiraceae. The record is from Rfam by way of RNAcentral.
GGAGAGGUGUCCGAGUGGUUUAAGGAGCCAGUCUUGAAAACUGGUGAUUCCGAAAGGGACCGUGGGUUCGAAUCCCACCUUCUCCG